AUUAAUUAAUUAAGAUUGACCAACAGUCUUGAGAUCGCAAAUUUGAAGUGCUGUUUGGCUGCACUGUAGGCCUACUGUUCAUUUUCAGAUUCUUCAUCGCCAUCGUACUCAGUGAAUGCCUGGAUUCUUUUAGUUGAGGCCUAAUGCAGUUGUUUUUUCCAAAUCAUCUGGAUUGUGUGAAUAUCAAAUAUCUCUUCCAUCAGUUGCUUACAUGCUUCUCUUCUAGGCCUAUUUAUUGCUUUCAUCAUGUGUGGUUAUGACUCUGUUGGACUGUGACUGACACCUUCAAAAUAAACUGAAGGAAUAAGAACAACAAUGGGAAGAAAAUGCUCAGUUGGUGGAUGCAAAACUGGCUAUGACAGUCAGAAAGGUGCAGAAAAAGUGACCUUGUAUGGAUUUCCUUCGGAUGAAACAGAAUGUCGGGCAUGGACUGCUAGCUUACCAAACAUUUUAUCCUAUGAAAAGGUGUCAAAACAUAUCAGUGUGUGCCCUCCAUUUCCGUAAAACUCUAACUCAACUCA
This 521-nucleotide long non-coding RNA is filed under the name Aplysia californica (California sea hare). RNAcentral's name for it is "uncharacterized LOC118477360". The record is from RNAcentral. Lineage: Eukaryota; Metazoa; Mollusca; Gastropoda; Aplysiida; Aplysiidae.